GACGAACGCUGGCGGCGUGCUUAACACAUGCAAGUCGAACGGUAAGGCCCUUCGGGGUACGACGAGUGGCGAACGGGUGAGUAACACGUGGGUGAUCUGCCCUGCACUUCGGGAUAAGCUUGGGAAACUGGGUCUAAUACCGGAUAGGACCACGGUCUGCAUGGAUUGUGGUGGAAAGCUUUUGCGGUGUGGGAUGGGCCCGCGGCCUAUCAGCUUGUUGGUGGGGUGAUGGCCUACCAAGGCGACGACGGGUAGCCGGCCUGAGAGGGUGUCCGGCCACACUGGGACUGAGAUACGGCCCAGACUCCUACGGGAGGCAGCAGUGGGGAAUAUUGGACAAUGGGGGCGAACCCUGAUCCAGCCAUGCCGCGUGAGUGAAGAAGGCCCUCGGGUUGUAAAGCUCUUUUGUCCGGAAAGAAAAGCAAUCGGUUAAUACCCGGUUGUUCUGACGGUACCGGAAGAAUAAGCACCGGCUAACUUCGUG
Molecule: ribosomal RNA, 484 nt
Filed under: uncultured bacterium
Lineage: Bacteria
Description: bacterial SSU rRNA
Rfam family: Bacterial small subunit ribosomal RNA
Source: RNAcentral